Small nuclear RNA from Hyla sarda, 190 nucleotides. RefSeq annotates it as U2 spliceosomal RNA. The transcript has a single exon. The record is from RefSeq and is a predicted model, not a curated record. Lineage: Eukaryota; Metazoa; Chordata; Amphibia; Anura; Hylidae.
UCCUCUUCUCGGCCUUUUGGCUAAGAUCAAGUGUAGUAUCUGUUCUGAUCAGUUGUUUCAUGCUGGUGGCAGGCGACGGCAGUGUGGAGGUGGUGGGGAUGGGUGCUGCAUGGUAGGGAGCAGGUGUACCGGGGCGUUCCGGGGCUGGUUCUGAGGAAUCAGCUCGACGGCUGCACCGAUAUGACCUGUU